This 460-nucleotide ribosomal RNA is filed under the name uncultured Methylomirabilota bacterium. Its description in RNAcentral is "bacterial SSU rRNA". It matches the Rfam family "Bacterial small subunit ribosomal RNA", at positions 977 to 1434 of the family's 1533-position model. The record is from RNAcentral. Lineage: Bacteria; Methylomirabilota (SeqCode).
UGGCUUGACAUCCCACGAACCUGCCCGAAAAGGUGGGGUGCCCGCAAGGGAGCGUGGAGACGGGUGGUGCAUGGCUGUCGUCAGCUCGUGUCGUGAGAUGUUGGGUUAAGUCCCGCAACGAGCGCAACCCUCACCCCUAGUUGCCACCGGGUUAAGCCGAGCACUCAAGGGGAACUGCCAGCGUCAAGCUGGAGGAAGGCGGGGAUGACGUCAAGUCAUCAUGCCCCUUACGCCCUGGGCUACACACGUGCUACAAUGGCCAGCACAAAGGGACGCGAGACUGCGAAGUGGAGCUAAUCCCAAAAAGCUGGUCUAAGUUCAGAUUGCAGUCUGCAACUCGACUGCAUGAAGGAGGAAUCGCUAGUAAUCGCGCAUCAGCCCGGCGCGGUGAAUACGUUCCCGGGCCUUGUACACACCGCCCGUCACACCACGAAAGCUGUCUGUACUCGAAGUCGCUGAG